AGAGGAUGACAUGUGGGCCCCGCAGCUAAUAGGUGGGCCCCACAACUAACGGUGUUAAAAGGACAUCCAUCCCAACCCUCUCAACCUCCCCAACCAAACAAAAGACUGGCUCCAACUCAUCCCUCUCUAUCCCUCUCAUCCAAACACGAGCUGGGUUCACUCCAACCUACAGAAAGGGGUUAAACCAAACGCAUCCUUAAAGCAUUGCUUGUGGGGGAGGAAAACUCGUCUUGGAACCUGUCGGCGUUGGCGACGGCGAGCUCAUGCUCGAGAACCCGACGAGGUCCAAUUCCUGUAUCUUAACCAGAAUUCCAAUCUUAUAGAGUGAAUCGUGAACUCGAGAUCUAGUGUUGUGACACAGGAUCAGGGGAUGCUUCAGCCUCCACCGGCUGCCAGCCUUGAACGGCCGCGAGCCAGGCGUGAAGAGGCCGGCCGUCGAGAUGGAGAAAGACUGUGGGACGCGCUGGAGUGGGACGGGCUGGCCGCCGGCCACCACCCCGACCUCUUCGAGCCGCCUGUGCACUCGCGCUACUACAGGCGAAGCCGCCUCCUCAGAGGCACCGUCCUCAGGUGAUUCCUGAGCCAGGCAUCCUACUGGUGACAUGAGUCAUGAGAGACCAGUGGCUUGUUCGCCAGCGAUGGAUGCUGGGUGAUUUCAUUCAUGCGCUGGUUUGGUUUGUCUUGUCGGAUGCUGCUUCAGCUCUCAGCUGCUUCCUCUGGCUGAGCUUGUUGUGGGAGGUAAGGGCCUCAGGCUGUUGUUAGUUCCUGCCUGUGCUUUGGAAUAAAAAACGCGGCCUGGUGUUCUGCCUGCGCGCGUGUUGCGCUCAUGCGGUCAGAGAACGGCCGGUGUGUGUGGCUUGCAAUCGGAUCUGAAACAAUGUGCUUCCAGUCGCAGCUGGGUUUGUGUUUGCCUGCCCUCCUGCUGCAUGUGUGUGUGUGUGAUUGGGUGUGUUUGAUUUGUUUGGUUUCAUGAUGAGUGCCUGCUGCGCCGUUUGAUGAUUUGUUUGCGUAGCUAAUAAUAAGCAGCAGCUGCGGCGCCUGCCGUGGCUGCCCUGAGUUUGUUUGC
Long non-coding RNA from Setaria italica (foxtail millet), 1066 nucleotides. RefSeq lists it as uncharacterized. Lineage: Eukaryota; Viridiplantae; Streptophyta; Magnoliopsida; Poales; Poaceae. The transcript is spliced from 2 exons. The record is from RefSeq and is a predicted model, not a curated record.